UACAGAGGUCUCAAGCGUUGUUCGGAUUCAUUGGGCGUAAAGGGUGCGUAGGUGGCGCCGUAAGUCAGGUGUGAAAUUUCGGAGCUUAACUCCGAAACUGCAUUUGAUACUGCCUUGCUUGAGGACUGGAGAGGAGACUGGAAUUCACGGUGUAGCAGUGAAAUGCGUAGAGAUCGUGAGGAAGACCAGUGGCGAAGGCGGGUCUCUGGACAGUUCCUGACACUGAGGCACGAAGGCCAGGGGAGCAAACGGG
Molecule: ribosomal RNA, 253 nt
Filed under: uncultured bacterium
Lineage: Bacteria
Description: partial 16S ribosomal RNA
Rfam family: Bacterial small subunit ribosomal RNA
Source: RNAcentral